AGCAGCCGCGGUAAUUCCAGCUCCAAUAGCGUAUAUUAAAGUUGCUGCAGUUAAAAAGCUCGUAGUUGAAUUUCGGGAUCAUCAUGUCGGUCGUGCCUCGGUACGUACUGGCAUUGUUGGUUUCUACCUUCUGACGAACCAUGAUGUCAUUUAUUUGGUGUCGUGGGAAAUCAGGACUGUUACUUUGAAAAAAUUAGAGUGUUUAAAGCAGGCUCACGCUUGAAUACAUUAGCAUGGAAUAAUGAAAUAGGACGUUUGAUUCUAUUUUGUUGGUUCUAUUUUGUUGGUUUCUAGGAUCGACGUAAUGAUUAAUAGGGAUAGUUGGGGGCAUUAGUAUUCAAUUGUCAGAGGUGAAAUUCUUGGAUUUAUUGAAGACUAACUACUGCGAAAGCAUUUGCCAAGGAUGUUUUCAUUAAUCAAGAACGAAAGUUAGGGGAUCGAAGACGAUCAGAUACCGUCGUAGUCUUAACCAUAAACUAUGCCGACUAGGGAUCGGAUGAUGUUAAUUUUUUAAUGACUCAUUCGGCGCCUUACG
RNAcentral lists this ribosomal RNA (535 nucleotides) under uncultured Glomus. RNAcentral's name for it is "SSU rRNA". It matches the Rfam family "Eukaryotic small subunit ribosomal RNA", at positions 569 to 1092 of the family's 1831-position model. The record is from RNAcentral. Lineage: Eukaryota; Fungi; Glomeromycota; Glomeromycetes; Glomerales; Glomeraceae.